Ostrea edulis (European flat oyster) is the source of this 926-nucleotide RNA transcript. It is a transcript of the gene named D-galactoside-specific lectin-like, with no coding region annotated. The transcript is spliced from 2 exons. NCBI's taxonomy places the organism in Eukaryota, Metazoa, Mollusca, Bivalvia, Ostreida, Ostreidae. The record is from RefSeq and is a predicted model, not a curated record.
UAUUCAGUAUGCAAAUUGGCACUGACCAUUGGAUACGUUUAGUUUUUAAAAUUGUAGAUCAAAGACUGCCUUAUUCCUGUUAACUCCCGAUGGAGCAUAGGGCUGCAACAAAACCACGCCAAAGUCCGUUGUCGUGGGUCAAAGCUGAAAGGCUAGAAUUAAGGAACGAAAUCUUGUUCUGGGAUUGUGUAAGUAAGUAUGACCAGUUUCUGUCUAAUCUACAUGAAACAUCCAAAAAAUACCAUUCACUCGACUGUACAAUUAAAUUGCAGAUUUAACUCACAGUCACUGGGCAGGUCUCCUCCAGUAUCCCCCUGUCAUUCAAUUAAAGAGAGAGAGAGAGUUUCGCCAUAUCACGUGACAUGUUUACAACUAUGAUAAACUGAAAGUUAUGCGUAGAAUGCCAACUCCUACUGCACUGCAUUGACCACGCAUUUGGGAAGAUGAGAGUAGAAACUUAUUGGAUAGGGAUAAUAUUACUCCUUUCGAUCAUCAGUUUAGGUGCAGGCGGAUCCAUUGUGAUUAUUUGUGAAAAUCACAAUGCCUACCUACGUUGCCCGCCUUCCCACACAAUUCGUAUUCUAAGUGCAAACUAUGGAAGAACCGAGAGAAAUAUUUGCCCGGCUCGCUCUCGAUGGAUGAGGGAUUUCAACUGCCACUCGUCGAAUUCGCAGGUGAAGGUCAUGUCAAGAUGCGACAGCCACACUGAAUGUUUCUUAGAAGCGAAGAACAGUGUGUUUGGAGAUCCGUGCGUUGGAACUUACAAGUAUCUGUAUGUGGAAUUUUUCUGUGAGGAAACCACAGCCGUCCCCGCGUGAAGAUAGAUCGAUAUCUGCAACCUUCUUCCGACACAAACACUUACACCUUUGCAAUAUUUUGACCAUGUGUAGUUUAUAUGCUUAAUUAAAUAAAAAUUUCAGAAAUCA